This 72-nucleotide transfer RNA is filed under the name Ictidomys tridecemlineatus (thirteen-lined ground squirrel). RNAcentral's name for it is "Spermophilus tridecemlineatus (thirteen-lined ground squirrel) tRNA". It matches the Rfam family "tRNA". Rfam says of the family: Transfer RNA (tRNA) molecules are approximately 80 nucleotides in length. Their secondary structure includes four short double-helical elements and three loops (D, anti-codon, and T loops). The record is from Rfam by way of RNAcentral. Lineage: Eukaryota; Metazoa; Chordata; Mammalia; Rodentia; Sciuridae.
UGGGUUGUGGCUCAGUGGUAAAGUACUCGCCUAGAAGGUGAGAGGCCCUGGGUCCGAUCCUCAGCACCACAU